GAGAUGGGCCAAGCCUUAUUAAGCACAGGUGCAGCUGAGUAUCAACCUCUGCACAAACUGCUCACCCUCCAGUAGUGUAUAGGAUAAUGUAUUUCACUCAGUCUAAGCAAACAGCUGUAGGUGAGCAGAGUUGCUCCAACUGAAUCAGCAGAGCUCCAGAUUCCUGAUGUUACCGUUACCAAAGUCAGUUGCUCAGUAUUUGCUGUACAUGGCCAGCCUCGGCAUAUUGAGAUCCCAUUGGAAGCGGGGUGUGCAGACACGCCUGUGCUCCCAUGAAGUUUGCAGAAGGGGUCCCCAUCACCAUCCUCAUCCUCCGGGAAGGGUCCCUGAGGCCACCACGGACAAAGGGCACACACCAGCAGCCCAUCUCAUGCACCCCAGUGGAGAGGGGCUGUGAGCCUUGGCAUCCCACCUCCAGACUGCUGACACCUAAGAAAGAGAGCCUCAGAGUGGAGCCUGCAUCCUGACCAGAUGUAUGACUCUGAUGACAGCCCUACGAUUGGUCUGAACCACGUCUUGUGUACCUAUGAAGUCUUGCUUAAGCGGAGUAUGAUGGGCCACUGCAAAAGGAUGCAUUCCACCCAAUAUGAAUUACCAGCACACACAUUUUAAGGUCUCUUAGGAAAGUCAGCAGGGCUGGAGGGGGGCUUACAAGGUCAUCCAGUCUAGCUACUUCCUCAAGGCCGGAUCCUCCCUGACUAACCCAUCUCAGCCAAAACAAUGUUUGCUUUCACAAUACCUGUUGCAAAACAAAAGAUGUUGCCUAAUGUGAACUUGUUCCAGUAUUUGUGGAACCAGAGGCCAUUGCAGUUCCACAAUGCACCUGGCAAGCUAGAAAGGAGGAGGAAUUGUACCAACACUGGACGUUACGAAGUCAAAUAAUGAAGUGACGGCUUUCCUAAGCUUCAAAGUAAAUGCCACAGUCACCUUGGGUAAUGAAGUACACAGAAGAGGACUUCAGCUUCCAGCUCUCCUUGCAUUGGAUGCCAUCCUGUGAGUAAUCCUAAGUGUUUCAUAUUUACAUAGCUAAAGUGAAAAAGCAAACCCAACAAACCAUCAUAUCACAUGGCAAGUGCAGAGGGAUGAUGAGAACAGUCUGUGGACAUCUAAUUUGGAGUCUAGCCAGGGCCCUAGGAUGAAUGUUCUUAUUCUUCCAAAAACUUUCCUGAAACUUUUACCCAGGGUGCUCACAUUACUAUAGCAAUUUUUGCAUGGAAAUAUUUUUGUAGGUGAAAUUUAACAGUUGCAUUUAGCUCCGCAUGAGGCCAAUGCAUCUCCACGCUAUUUGAGGCUAGGCUUUUCUCAUAAGCAAAUCAUUAAACAUCCAGAAUGCAAUCAGUCGAGUCCAAAUGUUGAGUAAUUGCUUUGUUUUACUCCAGAUUCUACAAAAAACUGGAGAGUUGUGGGGUUUCACUCUCUAUUUAUUAAUUCUUCCUGUGUCCCACAAGGAAGGAGACCUGCUUCUCAAUCCAGGGACUGGCACCUUCCAAAGUUGGUACAGCCAACCAGGAAGCUACAGCAGUAGCUGUAUAUGGACAGCUGAUAUUUACCUGAUAUAUGUACAGUCCCUGCAAUUUCUAUUCAAGCCAUAUCCAUAAUUUUGUGAAGUAGUAUUGCCAAAAAAAUAUCAGAGCAUGAUGGUUUGGAUUUUUCUGGAGGCAGCCAACUCUUACAAAGAGCUUCCAUGCAGAAUUUGCACCCUGCUAUAGAUAAAUCCCUCUCAGUCUCCAGAGACGGCACCAGGCCCAUGGUAUAAAUUCCCCUCGCUGUUGUCAUAUUAACUGCAGCGUUUGUAGUAAAACGAAAGGAUUAAUCAUUGGCCUGCUGUGUGUGUAUUUUAUUAAAGUCUGGGAGCCUAGUGUAUUUGCUUGCUUGUAGUGAAAGACUAGUGCUAUUCCUGGUAAGUGUAAUCCAAUAAUGGGAGGAGACGUUUUUAUAUUGUAUAUUCAAGCAUGUCAUAAUAUAGUAGCCCGCAGCGGUUUCGAGGAGUUAGUAAUGAGGUGCUGAGAUCUGAGCUUGCUAUGAAAAGGUGGAACCUUGCUCAAAUU
Long non-coding RNA from Alligator mississippiensis (American alligator), 2048 nucleotides. RefSeq lists it as uncharacterized. NCBI's taxonomy places the organism in Eukaryota, Metazoa, Chordata, Crocodylia, Alligatoridae. The transcript is spliced from 4 exons. The record is from RefSeq and is a predicted model, not a curated record.